RNAcentral lists this transfer RNA (71 nucleotides) under Colaspis sp. DPP-2018. RNAcentral's name for it is "tRNA-Ala". Lineage: Eukaryota; Metazoa; Arthropoda; Insecta; Coleoptera; Chrysomelidae. The record is from RNAcentral.
GCAAAAAGCGCAUAAGUUUAACGACAUAUGCGGUUUUUGCAUAGAACUGACGGACAUAUGUCCUUUUUGCA